AUGUCUGUGGACGGCUGCUUCGUCCCGUUCCACACUCCUCUUCGGGAGCCGACUGCCUACGACCACUGGGGGAAGGGCCCGCAACCCUGCUGGUCGCAGCUCGAUCUGGACAAGUGCGCAGUGAGAGGCUCGCAAGGGCAAGGCGGCGUCGACAGGCAGAAGGAGAAUUUGCCAGAGGAGCCAAAGCAACACCAUCCUGCUCAAGAGAGACACACCACACAUCAUAACAGUAAAAAUGGGAAAACGAUACUGGUAACUUUAUUUUUGAGUGGUAGAGCGUGCUAUGUUGUCUUUGCUCAUUUCUAUGACAUGAUCAUAAUUUUUCGAUGCAUUAGGAGUCGGGCUGGGUGGGCUCCCAAGGACAGGAGUGCCCCAUGCAUCAGGAGCCGAGCUGCAUGUGCUUCCAAGGAGAGGAGCACUCCUGAAGGUAUCAACAUGGAGGAACAUGGAUUUAGGUUUCAGUUUACUUUCCCUGAACCUGAUUAUGGGGAGUACGGCGCCGAUUUCGGUGAGGAAGAGGAGUGUUUACCGAGGCAGAGGAAACCUCCGGAAGUAAGGAAUGCACUCCGUGAGAAGAGAGUCGCGUUUAGGCAAAAGACUGGGCAGCACCAUACAAAAGACUGGGCAGCCCUGCGUAAGUACAACAGAGCAAACAACACCAAGUUUGAGCUGGUGGAGGUGCCAGUAAUCCGUGAGUUUUGGGAGUUUGGAGGGGGCUGCAUCCAUUACAACUUCACGGCUAAGCAAGCAGAGGAUCGUCAUCAUUCUGCUAAUGCCGAUAGCACCAAGCUCUUCUUCUCUGAGGUCAACUCCGCUUUCCAUGGCGAGAAGGAUGUAGUUCUAUGCUGUAUCGUUGGAGAACAUGAUAAUGGUGCGUAUUUGCCAGAGAAAUUGCUGUUUUCUAAUUUC
RNAcentral lists this ribosomal RNA (909 nucleotides) under Triticum aestivum (bread wheat). RNAcentral's name for it is "partial small subunit ribosomal RNA". The record is from RNAcentral. Lineage: Eukaryota; Viridiplantae; Streptophyta; Magnoliopsida; Poales; Poaceae.